RNAcentral lists this ribosomal RNA (292 nucleotides) under uncultured bacterium. RNAcentral describes it as "partial 16S ribosomal RNA". It matches the Rfam family "Bacterial small subunit ribosomal RNA", at positions 505 to 796 of the family's 1533-position model. The record is from RNAcentral.
GUGUCAGCAGCCGCGGUAACACGGGGGGAGCAAGCGUUGUUCGGAAUCACUGGGCGUAAAGGGCGUGUAGGCGGUCAGGUAAGUGAGAUGUGAAACGCCCCGGCUUACCCGGGGACCUGCAUCUCAAACUGCCUGGCUUGAGUACGGGAGAGGAUGAGGGAAUUCCUGGUGUAGCGGUGAAAUGCGUAGAUAUCAGGAGGAACACCGGUGGCGAAAGCGCUCAUCUGGCCCGAUACUGACGCUGAGGCGCGAAAGCUAGGGGAGCAAACGGGAUUAGAUACCCUAGUAGUCC